Molecule: ribosomal RNA, 253 nt
Filed under: uncultured bacterium
Lineage: Bacteria
Description: partial 16S ribosomal RNA
Rfam family: Bacterial small subunit ribosomal RNA
Source: RNAcentral
GACAGAGGGUGCAAACGUUGUUCGGAAUUACUGGGCGUAAAGCGCACGUAGGCGGCUUUUUAAGUCAGGGGUGAAAUCCUGGAGCUCAACUCCAGAACUGCCUUUGAUACUGAGAAGCUUGAGUCCGGGAGAGGUGAGUGGAACUGCGAGUGUAGAGGUGAAAUUCGUAGAUAUUCGCAAGAACACCAGUGGCGAAGGCGGCUGACUGGUCCGGUUCUGACGCUGAGGCGCGAAAGCGUGGGGAGCAAACAGG